Non-coding RNA from Pelobates cultripes (western spadefoot toad), 208 nucleotides. NCBI's taxonomy places the organism in Eukaryota, Metazoa, Chordata, Amphibia, Anura, Pelobatidae. The record is from the annotation of a GenBank genome assembly.
UUUAUGAAAAAAAGCCAAUUAAGUUGCUAGAUUAUUCCCCUUUGUGCUAGUGUAAUGUUAAUAUUUCCUUCAUCAGUCCAGUAUGUGUAUGAGUAAUACACAAGAAAAAAUGAAAAUCCAGUGCACUCGCUUAUCUACUAAACAGUCAUUUUAAUGCUGAACAAUUUUCAGUUUUAUUAAAAACACCUAGGCAAAAAAAUAUAAUGGG